RNAcentral lists this ribosomal RNA (301 nucleotides) under uncultured bacterium. RNAcentral describes it as "partial 16S ribosomal RNA". It matches the Rfam family "Bacterial small subunit ribosomal RNA", at positions 509 to 807 of the family's 1533-position model. The record is from RNAcentral.
CAGUCGCCGCGGUAAUACGGAGGGUGCAAGCGUUAAUCGGAAUUACUGGGCGUAAAGCGUGCGUAGGCGGUUCGUUAAGUCUGUUGUGAAAGCCCCGGGCUCAACCUGGGAAUGGCAAUGGAUACUGGCGAGCUAGAGCGUGUCAGAGGAUGGUGGAAUUCCCGGUGUAGCGGUGAAAUGCGUAGAGAUCGGGAGGAACAUCAGUGGCGAAGGCGGCCAUCUGGGACAACACUGACGCUGAGGCACGAAAGCGUGGGGAGCAAACAGGAUUAGAUACCCCGGUAGUCCCUGUCUCUUAUAC